Molecule: long non-coding RNA, 454 nt
Filed under: Androctonus crassicauda
Lineage: Eukaryota; Metazoa; Arthropoda; Arachnida; Scorpiones; Buthidae
Source: RNAcentral
GAAAAUCAAUUUUUUAUUUGUUUUAAACGUUUUCAUUUCAAUUAAAAAUAAAGCUUUUACAAUAAUUCAAGACAUUUUAUUAGUUUCUUUUCAUAAUAAUCACACAUAAAAUCAUAUAGCAUUAAUUAUUGCAUGUUUUACAAUUUCGUAAGCCUAAACAAAUUGUAACAGUAACCAAGAUAUCAGUAUUAAACCACCGAUCAGAACCUUAAAUUUUGCGUAUGGAAGACCACAUCAAUGUAUAUCAAAAUUCAUCGCCUGUGUUCGCAGCAAGUCGUUUAUUUAAGAAUCGCAACUAUGAAAGGCCGAAGACGCGAAGAUACAGUAUAUUGUACACUUCGCAAAUACAGAAACGAAUCCCAUCACAGAACAGAUUAGACAACAUUAUUUGCUUCAACUUCUUGACUUCUGGCUUCAACUUAUGGUGACCACUGGAGUGGGGAGUGAGAUGAGG